AUAUCAUCUUCCUAUUCUGCAUUAAUAUCAUCCAGAAACAACAAGAGAAAAAGGAAAAUAAAAUUGUAUGCUAUCAGUACUGUGAAAUAAGACGAGUGAAAGGGGAAAAAAAAUUGGGAGAGAUACUGAUGCAUAUUAAAAAAUCUAUUAGAAAUAUUGUCAAAAAGAGUACAAAUUAUUAACUAAUCUAUGAAGAAAUUAUAUUUAGAUCUAUUUCAAGAAAAUAUCAAUAGAAUACCAUCAUUUUCUUUUGUAAACUUUCAGAAGAACUGUGACACUGAAUUACUUCUCACAUUCCAACAGAUGUAAAAAGCGUCUGGUAUGAAUAUUUCCAUGAACUCUAAGAGCAGACCUCUUGUUAGGUUGGCUUCCUACUUAGAGGUAGACAUGGUCUGGUUUGGAACCGUAACUAAACCAUACCGGUUCAAUCUGGACCGAAACUAGUCAAAUGUAGAUUAACUGAAUCCGAAUUUGAACUAGACUAUUGGUUGGUACAGUUUCAAGUUAAAACUGAAAUUUCCCCUUUCAGAGAGAAAAUUUUUUAAAAAAUAAUAAUAAUAA
Molecule: unclassified non-coding RNA, 561 nt
Filed under: Hevea brasiliensis (rubber tree)
Lineage: Eukaryota; Viridiplantae; Streptophyta; Magnoliopsida; Malpighiales; Euphorbiaceae
Source: RNAcentral